Pelmatolapia mariae (spotted tilapia) is the source of this 296-nucleotide long non-coding RNA. RefSeq lists it as uncharacterized. The record is from RefSeq and is a predicted model, not a curated record. NCBI's taxonomy places the organism in Eukaryota, Metazoa, Chordata, Actinopteri, Cichliformes, Cichlidae. The transcript is spliced from 3 exons.
AGGUUGAAAUCAGCCAAGGACGUGACAUACUGUCUCAUAAAAUUUGUCCACCAGUUCGAAGCACCAAAAAGGAUUCUCAGUGACCAAGGCAAAGAAUUUGUCAAUUCUCUCAACAGAAGGGUAUGCAGAUUGUUAAACAUUAAAAGAAGCCUCUGCUCGUUCUAUCACCCACAAACAAAUGGCUUGGCGGAGAGAAUGAAUGGCACCAUUCAGAGAGGCCUCUGUAAGGUUGUUGGUGACCAUCCAGAAUCAUGGGAUGAGUAUCUGGAUGCUGUGAUGUUUGGACUCAGAACUAA